This 357-nucleotide ribosomal RNA is filed under the name uncultured bacterium. RNAcentral describes it as "bacterial SSU rRNA". It matches the Rfam family "Bacterial small subunit ribosomal RNA", at positions 9 to 353 of the family's 1533-position model. The record is from RNAcentral.
GAGUUUUGAUCCUGGCUCAGGAUGAACGCUAGCUACAGGCUUAACACAUGCAAGUCGAGGGGAAACGACAUCGAAAGCUUGCUUUUGAUGGGCGUCGACCGGCGCACGGGUGAGUAACGCGUAUCCAACCUGCCCACCACUUGGGGAUAACCUUGCGAAAGUAAGACUAAUACCCAAUGAUAUCUCUAGAAGACAUCUGAAAGAGAUUAAAGAUUUAUCGGUGAUGGAUGGGGAUGCGUCUGAUUAGCUUGUUGGCGGGGUAACGGCCCACCAAGGCAACGAUCAGUAGGGGUUCUGAGAGGAACGGUCCCCCACAUUGGAACUGGGACACGGUCCAAACUUCUACGGGAGGCAGCA